Neofelis nebulosa (Clouded leopard) is the source of this 464-nucleotide long non-coding RNA. RefSeq lists it as uncharacterized. The transcript is spliced from 2 exons. The record is from RefSeq and is a predicted model, not a curated record. Lineage: Eukaryota; Metazoa; Chordata; Mammalia; Carnivora; Felidae.
ACUGGACCAGCCAAGAGCGGUCAAAUAUUUGAACAGACAUGUACCUUGAAAGAGGACCAGGACCGAAAAAUUGGCCCUCCCCGCUAAAGAACAAAUGUGAUUGAGGAUAUAGAGAAAAUACUUCGGAAUAAAUAUAGUUAUGUCCUCAGGGAGAUUAAAAAGCCAUCUGCUAUGAAAUGGAACCAUAGUUCUGGAACUUAAAAAGAUCCUUAUGAGAGAGACACAAGACUGUCAGAGACAAAGGAGAAAGUGAUGUGUCAACAGAAGCAGAGAUUAGAGUAAUGUAGCCAGGAGCCACGGAAUGCCUGCAGCCUCCAGGACCUGGAAGAGGCAAGGAGCAGAUUCCCUGGAAGUCUCCAGAAGGAACCAGCCCCACGGACACCUUGAUUCUGGUACUUUAAGAAUCACUUUGGACUUCUGACAUACAGAACUGUAAAAGAAUAAAUGUUGUUUCAAGCCACUAA